ACCAUAUUCUUCCAUUUGCUUCCGGGCUCUUCCAUUUGGUCUCAUUUGCUUCCAAGAGAAUCUUUCGACCUCUCUCUUAGAACCACGAAACAUCCUCCUCUCUUCAACAGCAUCUCCUUCCUCCUCCAAUGGACAACAUCUCCCCUCCAGGCUCCUCCCUCAUUCCUUCUCCUCCGUUGGACAACAUCUCCUCCACUCUUUCUCUGGUUGAAAGAUUAGGUGGACAAGAAAGGGCAACUCCGAAGUUGGUUCUUCAAUUGAUGAAUUUUAAGGGUCUGGGUAUAACUCAUGUCAAGCGCCAUCUUCAAGUAAUUGAUUUGAUCCCAUC
This is a non-coding RNA of Malus domestica (apple), 328 nucleotides long. Lineage: Eukaryota; Viridiplantae; Streptophyta; Magnoliopsida; Rosales; Rosaceae. The record is from RefSeq and is a predicted model, not a curated record.